UCCCUGGUGGCUUAGAUAGUAAAGCGUCUGCCUGCAAUGCAGGAGACCCAGGUUCGAUCCCUGGGUCGGGAU
This 72-nucleotide transfer RNA is filed under the name Bos taurus (domestic cattle). It matches the Rfam family "tRNA". Rfam says of the family: Transfer RNA (tRNA) molecules are approximately 80 nucleotides in length. Their secondary structure includes four short double-helical elements and three loops (D, anti-codon, and T loops). The record is from Rfam by way of RNAcentral. Lineage: Eukaryota; Metazoa; Chordata; Mammalia; Artiodactyla; Bovidae.